This 70-nucleotide transfer RNA is filed under the name Anabas testudineus (climbing perch). RNAcentral describes it as "tRNA-Ile". It matches the Rfam family "tRNA". From Rfam's summary of the family: Transfer RNA (tRNA) molecules are approximately 80 nucleotides in length. Their secondary structure includes four short double-helical elements and three loops (D, anti-codon, and T loops). The record is from RNAcentral. Lineage: Eukaryota; Metazoa; Chordata; Actinopteri; Anabantiformes; Anabantidae. RNAcentral also lists the same sequence under 1 other name.
GGAACUGUGCCUGAAGUAAAGGGUCACUUUGAUGUAGUGAAUCAUGAGGGUUUAAUCCCCUCCGGCUCCU